Molecule: ribosomal RNA, 261 nt
Filed under: uncultured Ochrobactrum sp.
Lineage: Bacteria; Pseudomonadati; Pseudomonadota; Alphaproteobacteria; Hyphomicrobiales; Brucellaceae
Description: partial 16S ribosomal RNA
Rfam family: Bacterial small subunit ribosomal RNA
Source: RNAcentral
CGAGCGCCCGCAAGGGGAGCGGCAGACGGGUGAGUAACGCGUAGGAACGUACCUUUUGCUACGGAAUAACUCAGGGAAACUUGUGCUAAUACCGUAUGUGCCCUUCGGGGAAAGAUUUAUCGGCAAAGGAUCGGCCCGCGUUGGAUUAGCUAGUUGGUGAGGUAAAGGCUCACCAAGGCGACGAUCCAUAGCUGGUCUGAGAGGAUGAUCAGCCACACUGGGACUGAGACACGGCCCAGACUCCUACGGGAGGCAGCAGCC